This 443-nucleotide ribosomal RNA is filed under the name uncultured bacterium. Its description in RNAcentral is "partial 16S ribosomal RNA". It matches the Rfam family "Bacterial small subunit ribosomal RNA", at positions 338 to 795 of the family's 1533-position model. The record is from RNAcentral.
CCUACGGGAGGCAGCAGUGGGGAAUAUUGGGCAAUGGGCGCAAGCCUGACCCAGCAACGCCGCGUGAAGGAAGAAGGCUUUCGGGUUGUAAACUUCUUUUCUGAGGGACGAAGAAAGUGACGGUACCUCAGGAAUAAGCCACGGCUAACUACGUGCCAGCAGCCGCGGUAAUACGUAGGUGGCAAGCGUUAUCCGGAUUUAUUGGGUGUAAAGGGCGUGUAGGCGGGAAAGCAAGUCAGAUGUGAAAACUCAGGGCUCAACCCUGAGCCUGCAUUUGAAACUGUUUUUCUUGAGUGCUGGAGAGGCAAUCGGAAUUCCGUGUGUAGCGGUGAAAUGCGUAGAUAUACGGAGGAACACCGAUUGCGAAGGCAGCAUACCGGCGCCCGACUGACGCUGAGGCACGAAAGCGUGGGUAUCGAACAGGAUUAGAUACCCUGGUAGUC